GACUAACGCUGGCGGCGUGCUUAACACAUGCAAGUCGAACGGAAAGGCCCUGCUUUUGUUGGGUGCUCGAGUGGCGAACGGGUGAGUAACACGUGAGUAACCUGCCCUUGACUUUGGGAUAACUUCAGGAAACUGGGGCUAAUACCUGAUAGGAGCUCCUGCUGCAUGGUGGGGGUUGGAAAGUUUCGGCGGUUGGGGAUGGACUCGCGGCUUAUCAGCUUGUUGGUGGGGUAGUGGCUUACCAAGGCUUUGACGGGUAGCCGGCCUGAGAGGGUGACCGGCCACAUUGGGACUGAGAUACGGCCCAGACUCCUACGGGAGGCAUCAGUGGGGAAUAUUGCACAAUGGGCGGAAGCCUGAUGCAGCAACGCCGCGUGCGGGAUGACGGCCUUCGGGUUGUAAACCGCUUUCGCCUGUGACGAAGCGUGAGUGACGGUAAUGGGUAAAGAAGCACCGGCUAACUACGUG
Molecule: ribosomal RNA, 468 nt
Filed under: uncultured bacterium
Lineage: Bacteria
Description: partial 16S ribosomal RNA
Rfam family: Bacterial small subunit ribosomal RNA
Source: RNAcentral